RNAcentral lists this ribosomal RNA (1496 nucleotides) under uncultured Bordetella sp. Its description in RNAcentral is "partial 16S-23S ribosomal RNA intergenic spacer". It matches the Rfam family "Bacterial small subunit ribosomal RNA". The record is from RNAcentral. Lineage: Bacteria; Pseudomonadati; Pseudomonadota; Betaproteobacteria; Burkholderiales; Alcaligenaceae.
GGUUUGAUUAUGGCUCAGAUUGAACGCUGGCGGGAUGUGCUUUACACAUGCAAGUCGAACGGCAGCACGGACUUCGGUCUGGUGGCGAGUGGCGAACGGGUGAGUAAUGUAUCGGAACGUGCCUAGUAGCGGGGGAUAACUACGCGAAAGCGUAACUAAUACCGCAUACGCCCUUCGGGGAAGCGGGGGACCUUCGGGCCUCGCACUAUUAGAAGCAGCCGAUAUCGGAUUAGCUAGUUGGUGGGAGUAACGGCUCACCAAAGGCGACGAUCCGUAGCUGGUUUGAGAGGACGACCAACCACACUGGGACUGAGACACGGCCCAGACUCCUACGGGGAGGCAGCAGUGGGGAAUUUUGGACAAUGGGGGAAACCCUGAUCCAGCCAUCCCGCGUGUGCGAUGAAGGCCUUCGGGUUGUAAAGCACUUUUUUGGCAGGAAAGAAACGGCGCGCAGAUAAUACCCCGUGCAACUGACGGUACCUGCAGAAUAAGCACCGGCUAACUACGUGCCAGCAGCCGCGGUAAUACGUAGGGUGCAAGCGUUAAUCGGAAUUACUGAGGCGUAAAGCGUGCGCAGGCGAUUCGGAAAAGAAAGAUGUGAAAUCCCAGGCUUAACCUGGAACUGCAUUUUUAACUACCGAGCUAGAGUGUGUCAGGGAGGUGGAAUUCCGCGUGUAGCAGUGAAAUGCGUAGAUAUGCGGAGGAACACCGAUGGCGAAGGCAGCCUCCUGGGAUAACACUGACGCUCAUGCACGAAAGCGUGGGGGAGCAAAACAGGAUUAGAUACCCUGGUAGUCCACGCCCUAAACGAUGUCAACUAGCUGUUGGGGCCUUCGGGCCUUGGUAGCGCAGCUAACGCGCAUGAAGUUGACCGCCUGGGGAGUACGGUCGCAAGAUUAAAACUCAAAGGAAUUGACGGGGACCACUGAAAGCGGUGGAUGAUGUGGAUUAAUUCGAUGCAGCGACGCGAAAAACCUUACCUACCCUUGACAUGUCUGGAAUCCCGAAGAGAUUUGGGAAUUCUCGCAAGAGAACCGGAACACAGGUGCUGCAUGGCUGUCGUCAGCUCGUGUCGUGAGAUGUUGGGUUAAGUCCCGCAACAGGCGCAACCCUUGUCAUUAGUUGCUACGAAAGGGCACUCUAAUGAGACUGCCGGUGACAAACCGGAGGAAGGUGGGGGAUGACGUCAAGUCCUCAUGGCCCUUAUGGGUAGGGCUUCUACGUCAUACAAUGGUCGGGACGGGGGUCGCCAACCCGCGAGGGGUAAUCCCAGAAACCCGAUCGUAGUCCGGAUCGCAGUCUGCAACUCGACUGCGUGAAGUCGGAAUCACUAGUAAUCGCGGAUCAGCAUGUCGCGGUGAAUACGUUCCCGGGUCUUGUACACACCGCCCGUCACACCAUGGGAGUGGGUUUUACCAGAAGUAGUUAGCUAACCGUAAGGAGAGGCGAUUACCACAGUAGGAUUCAUGACUGGGAGUGAAGUCGUAACAAGGUAA